UACAGAGGUCUCAAGCGUUGUUCGGAUUCAUUGGGCGUAAAGGGUGCGUAGGCGGCGCGGUAAGUCGGGUGUGAAAUCUCGGGGCUUAACUCCGAAACUGCAUUCGAUACUGCCGUGAUUGAGGACUGGAGAGGAGACUGGAAUUUACGGUGUAGCGGUGAAAUGCGUAGAUAUUGGGAAGAACACCGGUGGCGAAGGCGGCCAUCUGGCCCGUUAUUGACGCUGAGGCGCGAAAGCGUGGGGAGCAAACAGG
RNAcentral lists this ribosomal RNA (253 nucleotides) under uncultured bacterium. RNAcentral describes it as "partial 16S ribosomal RNA". It matches the Rfam family "Bacterial small subunit ribosomal RNA", at positions 524 to 776 of the family's 1533-position model. The record is from RNAcentral.